RNAcentral lists this ribosomal RNA (305 nucleotides) under uncultured bacterium. Its description in RNAcentral is "bacterial SSU rRNA". It matches the Rfam family "Bacterial small subunit ribosomal RNA", at positions 334 to 637 of the family's 1533-position model. The record is from RNAcentral.
ACGACCUACGGGACGCAGCAGUGAGGAAUAUUGGUCAAUGGCCGGGAGGCUGAACCAGCCAAGUCGCGUGAGGGAAGACGGCCCUACGGGUUGUAAACCUCUUUUGUCAGGGAGCAAGAGGCGGGUCGAGACCUGCUGUGAGAGUACCUGAAGAAAAAGCAUCGGCUAACUCCGUGCCAGCAGCCGCGGUAAUAAGGAGGAUGCGAGCGUUAUCCGGAUUUAUUUGGUUUAAAGGGGGCGCAGGCGGAGGCACAAGUCAGCGGUAAAAUCGCGGGGCUCAACCCCCCUCCCCCCUUGAAACUGUG